Molecule: ribosomal RNA, 497 nt
Filed under: uncultured bacterium
Lineage: Bacteria
Description: partial 16S ribosomal RNA
Rfam family: Bacterial small subunit ribosomal RNA
Source: RNAcentral
GAUGAACGCUGGCGGCGUGCCUAAUACAUGCAAGUCGAGCGAACGGACGAGAAGCUUGCUUUUCUGAUGUUAGCGGCGGACGGGUGAGUAACACGUGGAUAACCUACCUAUAAGACUGGGAUAACUUCGGGAAACCGGAGCUAAUACCGGAUAAUAUUUUGAACCGCAUGGUUCAAAAGUGAAAGACGGUCUUGCUGUCACUUAUAGAUGGAUCCGCGCUGCAUUAGCUAGUUGGUAAGGUAACGGCUUACCAAGGCAACGAUGCAUAGCCGACCUGAGAGGGUGAUCGGCCACACUGGAACUGAGACACGGUCCAGACUCCUACGGGAGACAGCAGUAGGGAAUCUUCCGCAAUGGGCGAAAGCCUGACGAAGCAACGCCGCGUGAGUGAUGAAGGUCUUCGGAUCGUAAAACUCUGUUAUUAGGGAAGAACAUAUGUGUAAGUAACUGUGCACAUCUUGACGGUACCUAAUCAGAAAGCCACGGCUAACUACGUG